GUACCGUUCGAGAACCUGUGGACUCCGGACGAGGUGCGCCGUACCCGGUCAUGACAAGACGGCGCCUA
Molecule: non-coding RNA, 68 nt
Filed under: Nocardiopsis sp.
Lineage: Bacteria; Bacillati; Actinomycetota; Actinomycetes; Streptosporangiales; Nocardiopsidaceae
Also listed under: 1 other name
Source: RNAcentral